Molecule: ribosomal RNA, 494 nt
Filed under: uncultured bacterium
Lineage: Bacteria
Description: partial 16S ribosomal RNA
Rfam family: Bacterial small subunit ribosomal RNA
Source: RNAcentral
GACGAACGCUGGCGGCGCGCUUAACACAUGCAAGUCGAACGGAAAGGCCUGCUUUCCCUUGUGGAUUGCGGGUACUCGAGUGGCGAACGGGUGAGUAACACGUGAGUGAUCUGCCCCCAACUUGGGUAUAAGCCUGGGAAACUGGGUCUAAUUCCCGAUAGGACUGCAGGGUGGUGCCUGUGGUGGAAAACGAUUUUCUAGUGGUUGGGGAUGAGCUCGCGGCCUAUCAGCUUGUUGGUGGGGUAAUGGCCUACCAAGGCGGCGACGGGUAGCCGGCCUGAGAGGGGGGACGGCCACAUUGGGACUGAGAUACGGCCCAGACUCCUACGGGAGGCAGCAGUGGGGAAUAGUGCACAAUGGGCGGAAGCCUGAUGCAGCGACGCCGCGUGGGGGAUGACGGCCUUCGGGUGGUAAACUCCUUUCGACCGCGAGGAAGCCACCUGGUUGGAAGGGUGGUGACGGUAGUGGUAGAAGAAGCACCGGCUAACUACGUG